AAAGUCGUAACAAGGUCUCCGUUGGUGAACCAGCGGAGGGAUCAUUAUAGAGUUUUCUAAACUCCCAACCCAUGUGAACUUACCAUUGUUGCCUCGGCAGAAGCUGCUCGGUGCACCUUACCUUGGAACGGCCUACCCUGUAGCGCCUUACCCUGGAACGGCUUACCCUGUAGCGGCUGCCGGUGGACUACCAAACUCUUGUUAUUUUAUUGUAAUCUGAGCGUCUUAUUUUAAUAAGUCAAAACUUUCAACAACGGAUCUCUUGGUUCUGGCAUCGAUGAAGAACGCAGCGAAAUGCGAUAAGUAAUGUGAAUUGCAGAAUUCAGUGAAUCAUCGAAUCUUUGAACGCACAUUGCGCCCAUUAGUAUUCUAGUGGGCAUGCCUGUUCGAGCGUCAUUUCAACCCUUAAGCCUAGCUUAGUGUUGGGAGCCUACUGCUUUUACUAGCUGUAGCUCCUGAAAUACAACGGCGGAUCUGCGAUAUCCUCUGAGCGUAGUAAUUUUUAUCUCGCUUUUGACUGGAGUUGCAGCGUCUUUAGCCGCUAAACCCCCCAAUUUUAAUGGUUGACCUCGGAUCAGGUAGGAAUACCCGCUGAACUUAAGCAUAUCAAUAAGCGGAGGA
Molecule: unclassified non-coding RNA, 621 nt
Filed under: Pestalotiopsis disseminata
Lineage: Eukaryota; Fungi; Ascomycota; Sordariomycetes; Amphisphaeriales; Sporocadaceae
Description: partial contains 18S rRNA, ITS1 and 5.8S rRNA
Rfam family: 5.8S ribosomal RNA (bases 243-396)
Source: RNAcentral